Molecule: ribosomal RNA, 451 nt
Filed under: Angustibacter sp.
Lineage: Bacteria; Bacillati; Actinomycetota; Actinomycetes; Kineosporiales; Kineosporiaceae
Description: bacterial SSU rRNA
Rfam family: Bacterial small subunit ribosomal RNA
Source: RNAcentral
GGAUACGACACAGACAGGCAUCUGUACUGUGUGGAAAGUUUUUCGGCCAGGGAUGGACUCGCGGCCUAUCAGCUUGUUGGUGGGGUAACGGCCCACCAAGGCGACGACGGGUAGCCGGCCUGAGAGGGCGACCGGCCACACUGGGACUGAGACACGGCCCAGACUCCUACGGGAGGCAGCAGUGGGGAAUAUUGCGCAAUGGGCGAAAGCCUGACGCAGCGACGCCGCGUGAGGGAUGAAGGCCUUCGGGUUGUAAACCUCUUUCAGCAGGGAAGAAGCGAAAGUGACGGUACCUGCAGAAGAAGCACCGGCUAACUACGUGCCAGCAGCCGCGGUAAUACGUAGGGUGCAAGCGUUGUCCGGAAUUAUUGGGCGUAAAGAGCUCGUAGGCGGUCUGUCGCGUCUGGUGUGAAAAUCCAGGGCUUAACCCUGGACCUGCAUCGGGUACGGG